RNAcentral lists this ribosomal RNA (426 nucleotides) under uncultured bacterium. RNAcentral describes it as "bacterial SSU rRNA". It matches the Rfam family "Bacterial small subunit ribosomal RNA", at positions 354 to 796 of the family's 1533-position model. The record is from RNAcentral.
GUGGGGGAUAUUGCACAAUGGGGGAAACCCUGAUGCAGCGACGCCGCGUGAGGGAAGACGGUUUUCGGAUUGUAAACCUCUGUCUUUAGGGACGAAAAAAUGACGGUACCUAAGGAGGAAGCCACGGCUAACUACGUGCCAGCAGCCGCGGUAAUACGUAGGUGGCAAGCGUUGUCCGGAAUUACUGGGUGUAAAGGGAGCGUAGGCGGGGAGACAAGUUGAAUGUCUAAACUAUCGGCUUAACUGAUAGUCGCGUUCAAAACUAUCACUCUUGAGUGCAGUAGAGGUAGGCGGAAUUCCUAGUGUAGCGGUGAAAUGCGUAGAUAUUAGGAGGAACACCAGUGGCGAAGGCGGCCUACUGGGCUGUAACUGACGCUGAGGCUCGAAAGCGUGGGUAGCAAACAGGAUUAGAAACCCCAGUAGUCC